AAAAAUUCCGGUCGACCUCCUACGGCACCCAUUAGUAUUUAAAGAUUUGAUUUCAUUCAACAAAUUAAUUUAGGACCUCCAUGUACGUGUCAUUUAGAACACAGUUAUAUACCGAAUGGUCAAUAUUAAUCUUCCAUGUAAUUUGCUCUAUGUGAUGUUUGCAGAAUUUCAACGGAGGUAAUUUCGUGGCAUGAUCAAUUGUGUGUUUACCCUCCCCUUUUCUCCUUUGAUAUAAAGC
RNAcentral lists this long non-coding RNA (238 nucleotides) under Mytilus galloprovincialis (Mediterranean mussel). The record is from RNAcentral. Lineage: Eukaryota; Metazoa; Mollusca; Bivalvia; Mytilida; Mytilidae.